Molecule: ribosomal RNA, 767 nt
Filed under: uncultured Bacteroidota bacterium
Lineage: Bacteria; Pseudomonadati; Bacteroidota
Description: bacterial SSU rRNA
Rfam family: Bacterial small subunit ribosomal RNA
Source: RNAcentral
UAUGUCUUCGGAUAUAGAGACCGGCGCACGGGUGCGUAACGCGUAUGCAAUCUACCUUUUACAGGGGAAUAGCCCAGAGAAAUUUGGAUUAAUGCCCCAUAGUAUAAUUGAAUGGCAUCAUUUAAUUAUUAAAGUCACAACGGUAAAAGAUGAGCAUGCGUCCCAUUAGUUAGUUGGUAAGGUAACGGCUUACCAAGACAAUGAUGGGUAGGGGUCCUGAGAGGGAGAUCCCCCACACUGGUACUGAGACACGGACCAGACUCCUACGGGAGGCAGCAGUGAGGAAUAUUGGACAAUGGGCGCAAGCCUGAUCCAGCCAUGCCGCGUGCAGGAAGACGGUCCUAUGGAUUGUAAACUGCUUUUAUACAGGAAGAAACACUCCGACGUGUCGGAGCUUGACGGUACUGUAGGAAUAAGGAUCGGCUAACUCCGUGCCAGCAGCCGCGGUAAUACGGAGGAUCCAAGCGUUAUCCGGAAUCAUUGGGUUUAAAGGGUCCGUAGGCGGUUUAAUAAGUCAGUGGUGAAAUCUGGUCGCUCAACGAUCAAACGGCCAUUGAUACUGUUAGACUUGAAUUAUAAGGAAGUAACUAGAAUAUGUAGUGUAGCGGUGAAAUGCUUAGAUAUUACAUGGAAUACCAAUUGCGAAGGCAGGUUACUACUUAUGGAUUGACGCUGAUGGACGAAAGCGUGGGGAGCGAACAGGAUUAGAUACCCUGGUAGUCCACGCCGUAAACGAUGGAUACUAGCUGUUGGAAGCAAUUUCAGUG